UGAUAAAGUGUGCUCAGCCAGACGACCUCCCCUAAAGCUAGGUUUAAUCUGGGUCAGGUUCCUGGGUCAGGUUCCUUGACUAGUCAGUAGAUGAUAAAGUGUGCUCAGCCAGACGACCUCCCCUAAAGCUAGGUUUAAUCUGGGUCAGGUUCCUGGGUCAGGUUCCUUGACUAGUCAGUAGAUGAUAAAGUGUGCUCAGCCAGACGACCUCCCCUAAAGCUAGGUUUAAUCUGGGUCAGGUUCCUGGGUCAGGUUCCUUGACUAGUCAGUAGAUGAUAAAGUGUGCUCAGCCAGACGACCUCCCCUAAAGCUAGGUUUAAUCUGGGUCAGGUUCCUGGGUCAGGUUCCUUGACUAGUCAGUAGAUGAUAAAGUGUGCUCAGCCAGACGACCUCCCCUAAAGCUAGGUUUAAUCUGGGUCAGGUUCCUGGGUCAGGUUCCUUGACUAGUCAGUAGAUGAUAAAGUGUGCUCAGCCAGACGACCUCCCCUAAAGCUAGGUUUAAUCUGGGUCAGGUUCCUGGGUCAGGUUCCUUGACUAGUCAGUAGAUGAUAAAGUGUGCUCAGCCAGACGACCUCCCCUAAAGCUAGGUUUAAUCUGGGUCAGGUUCCUGGGUCAGGUUCCUUGACUAGUUAGUAGAUGAUAAAGUGUGCUCAGCCAGACGACCUCCCCUAAAGCUAGGUUUAAUCUGGGUCAGGUUCCUGGGUCAGGUUCCUUGACUAGUCAGUAGAUGAUAAAGUGUGCUCAGCCAGACGACCUCCCCUAAAGCUAGGUUUAAUCUGGGUCAGGUUCCUGGGUCAGGUUCCUUGACUAGUCAGUAGAUGAUAAAGUGUGCUCAGCCAGACGACCUCCCCUAAAGCUAGGUUUAAUCUGGGUCAGGUUCCUGGGUCAGGUUCCUUGACUAGUCAGUAGAUGAUAAGGUGUGCUCAGCCAGACGACCUCCCCUAAAGCUCACCCCUUCAGUUGUUUUACGAGGCAUUUGGUGUAAAACAAGGUGUGACUACUCCCUAUCAGAUAUAAAGUAAUAAUAUUUUUGGGUUUCCAUUUUGCCUGUUGGUCUGUGUUUGUGUACAGUACGUGUGUGUUUGGUGUUCCUGUGUUUAAGGGUUUUUGUUUCUCUCUGUUUUUUUUUUUUUUUUGAGAAGAAAAAAAAAGGAAAAAAAAAAAAAGAGUUUGUUUCUGUACAUAUUGUUGUUGACAAAUGAUGAGCUAUUUGUUUGCUGUACUCUGCAAUACGUUUCAACCUUUCAGAUGACUAUAAUGGUUAGAACUGCCCUUCUUGAACAAGGGCUCUUGAUGUCUGCUGUUAUGUGCUGUUGGAGGUGACAGUCGGGAGGGGAGGUCGGAGGAGCGAGAGACAGAGAUACCCCAACACACUUCCCAGACCAGAACAAUCUCUUCAAUACUAUGUCACUACGGCAACAAAACAAAACAAAACAGAAAUCUUCACAGUUACAAACAUGAACAAAUAUCGGAUGCUUUUACGCUCAUAUAAAGCACCGUAUUAUUUUGGAGAUUGUCAUCUGACACGACAGACUAGUCCCACAGUAAUAUCACCACCCAAAACAACAACAGCCUCUACAGUCACUGAAACAUUUUGUUUAACCUUUAUUUAACUAGGCCAGUUAAAAACACAUGAUUAUUUACAAUGACGGCCUACCAGGGAACAGUGGGUUAACUGCCUUGUUCAGGGGAACAGUGGGGUUAACUGCCUUGUUCAGGGGAACAGUGGGGUUAACUGCCUUGUUCAGGGGAACAGUGGGUUAACUGCCUUGUUCAGGGGAACAGUGGGUUAACUGCCUUGUUCAGGGGCAGAACUACAGAUUUUUACUUUGUCACCCCGGAUGACACUGGACCAAUGGUGUGCCGCCCUAACCCAAUCACAGCCGGAUGUGAUACAGCCUGGAUUCAAACCAGGGACCGUAGUGACGCCUCUUGCUCUGAGAUGCAGUGCCUUAGACCGCUGCGCCACUCGGGAGCCCAAAUGCUUCUCAACCUCAGCCUAUAAUUAAACUUAGUGUGGUGUGUUAGAUUAGAUAUAGAUGGGACAAAAGCAUCUCAGAUCAAUAAUUAUUAAUUAAUUUAAUUAAUCAUAGCAAUUUGACUAGAAAGCUCAUGGUUGCCAGUCCACCCAUCACCUACACUUGAGUGUGGAAAACCUUUUCUAAGAAUUGUAUUUCUAUUGGGCUCCUCCUCGUCGCUCCGCCGUGGUCACUUGGAAUUCUUUGGUAGACGGCUGUUCCCCCCGCAUCGCUUCCCUCCCUCUGCCGUAGUGCAUUCAGAGAGGGCUAUAUGUUCCUCAAUGCCGGUCCCCUCCCUCUGCAGUGGUAGCUUGGCAUUCCCUCUCACCCCUAUCAGCUCCUACAGAAAGGAGCCUGGCUAACUGGCUGUAUGGGGGGUUUACUGUAAAACCGUGGUGUUAUAGAGUAUUAACUGUAGAAUAUGAUGUCACGCUGUCUGUUUAAAUCAACGCUCAACCCUAUUAUUCAUAGGUUGCACCUCCGUCACUCGGUCGCGUCGUGCGGUUGGUAUGAACGUUCUCAAGCCGCCCUCUACCGGCGGCGCAAUAGUGGUGCCCGGAAAAUGUUAUUAACCCCAGUCAUUCUGGACGGAGGCUGACGAAUUGUUUAGUCUAAAUUACACUAUAGUGCCUGGAAAUACGAUGACAUUGCUAAAGUACUCAAAUGUUUUGUAAGAAAACAAGCGUUGCCAGUAUUAUAAUGUUGUCAAUUUUACUUUUAAACAGAUGGGAAUGUUGCCAUUAUAUAUAAAAUAAAAAUAGCUUUGACUCCUGAAUGGCAUUGUAUUUCCAAGACACUGUAAUGCACAUUUGUUUAAAUCUUCAUCGGCGAUAAAUGCCAAUGCGUUAAGUAAAAUGCUCAGUUGGGUAUCAGUCCAAAACGACCUACCAAACAAUAGCGACAAAACAUUAACUUUAGACGUGUUAAGGCAUCAGCAUGUUUCAGUUCAGGUGGCGACAAAACCGACCGAUGUGCUUCUAUAAUUCCCGUAUAAUACCUUCGCUUGAAAAAACGAGAAAAGUAAGUGCCAUUAGUACGGUUUGUCCCUUUUGAGAAGCCGUAGCCAGUACACACUUCCUCAAAGUAGUGAGACCCGAAUAAAAAAAAAUGUAAGAAAUCUUUCAUUCAUUUUGACGUUUUUUUGCAGAGGUCUUAGUUGCGUCAUUUUACAUCUAACUAAGAUAUUUGGUGAAGUAUUUCUCAAUGAAAACAUGUGGAUGAAAACGCUUCGUCUCGUCUCGAACGACAACAAAGACUUUAUUGAAGAAUCCCAACAGUCGACCAAUCACGUAGGAAGGGUCGAGUACUUUGGGUGUGUGUCCGAACAGCCCAAAACCUCCUUUCCAACCAAUGUCCAAAACUAACAAAACCGUCACAAAAUGUCAUCAUUAUAUAUGCACGAACUCUUCCCCAAUUGUUUCGGCUGGGAAGUAUACAGACGCCUUUAGUUCCAGGCACGUUUAUAAGAAACAGAAGGAAAAAAAUGAUUUUACCCCUGAACAAUGUUGAAACAUAUAUUGGGGGACUAGGGUUGCAAAAUUCUGGUAACUUUAGAUUCUAGAUCCUGGUUGGGUGGAUUCUAGAUUUCCUCAUGAUUCCUUCCUGAUUCUGGAAAUCUUCCAAAAGGACAUUUACACCAAUAACAGAAUAACAACCCCAGAGCUUUUGUUAUUGUUAGACCGAUGUGAUGACCUUCUGAGUGCCUGUUUCCCGGCACCAGACUGGAGGUGCCAAACACCAGGUCCAACCAAAUCCCAGUGACCUCCCAGUGUCCCCUAGCUUCCCAGUCCUAUUUUGAGACAAACCUGGGCUCUAAAAAAAAAUGACGUGCUGUUUUGGUGCGGUACGCUCAGAGAAGUACACUCUGUUUCAGAGCCAGCCAUCAGACCUGCAGGUGUCUGCAAAAAAACACUCCCCUCCCUAGUUCUCCAUAUGCUCUGUUCCUGAGUAGCUGGCAGCUCUGUGUGUGUGUCUAUGUGUCUGUGUGUGUGUUCAGGAGAGAGCUUAUCAUUGUCAGACGGCUUUCAGUGUUGACUAGGACACAGACAUGAUCCUCACAGCUGAUACACUGGCAAGGACACACACACACACAAAUAUACACACACACGCUGGCCAUUUACAAUCUGUCUAGCAAGGUCAACAAAAUAAAUAUACCACUGAUCUUAACCGGCUGAAAAAUUCAAAUGUAGAGCCCCCUUAUACCUACAUGCACACCUCUGUGGAUAAAUAGUUUAUUAUCAUUCUCUGCCUUCAUGUUGUGAAGUUCCUUUACAUUUAGACCUCAAGGUCAAAUUUCUUCCUGUGUGUGAACGGUACACUAGCCCUCUCCCUCUUCUCUCCAUCUCUCCCAGACCCCACCUCAUCAACAGACUGCUCUAACUUUCAACACACAAAUUGUGAUGUGUACAAUCUGAUUUAAUGUACUUAUGUCUUUUUUUGUUUAGUUUUUUUUGUGCCAACUUUGUAUAGUGUAUAAACAUCUCUAAAUAUAUGAAAAACGACACUAUAGAUGUUAGCUUCCUGGAACAUGCAGGGUAAUAGGGUAUACUUGGUCGACUUCAAGACAAAACGUAGAGCCGCUAUAAAGCUAGUUAUCGAGAACAUCCUGCUUUGUGUAGAAAUCUGGUGUGUCACCACGGUCCCUUUUUAUAUUCUAGGUUUCGUUUUUUUGUGUUGAUGUUUUUUUAAAUACACCCGGUGGCAUCCAA
Oncorhynchus keta (chum salmon) is the source of this 4726-nucleotide long non-coding RNA. RefSeq lists it as uncharacterized. The transcript is spliced from 5 exons. Lineage: Eukaryota; Metazoa; Chordata; Actinopteri; Salmoniformes; Salmonidae. The record is from RefSeq and is a predicted model, not a curated record.